UUUCUAGUUCUUUCUUACAGCUCUUUCCUCUCCGACAUAUAGUCAAAACUCAAAACUAUGAAACUGUGUCAUUUUGCUACAAGAUGCAAGAUAUUUCUUUAGCUUAAGCCUUCUCUUAUCAAUAGUUAUUAUCCUUAAAGCACAUAUAUAUACUCAAGCACAUAUUAUAUAUUCAAAGUAAACAUAAAAAGUUUAACGGAGGUAAAACACUCACCUUGAAGCCUCGUUCGUCUACUUACUUGUAAUUGUAGGCAUAAUAGACAAGUUGACAUUUUCUUAGUGUCUCUACACUGCAACGAAUCUUUGGUAGACAUUUUACUAAAGGAAUUCUUGGUUCUUUCCUAGGAGUAUCAUUUUCUUGAAAAAGUAUUGGUCAUAUUGCCCAAACAGGUAUACAUAACUUCCUUCUAAAAUACAUCAAUCCAUUAUUUUCAAACUCCUCAACUGUAUUAAUCAGAACCCCAUCUCAGUUUUUUCAAAGUGAAAGAUUUUUCAUCUGAAAAAC
This 505-nucleotide long non-coding RNA is filed under the name Solanum tuberosum (potato). Its description in RNAcentral is "long non-coding RNA (STUB_LNC010779)". The record is from RNAcentral. Lineage: Eukaryota; Viridiplantae; Streptophyta; Magnoliopsida; Solanales; Solanaceae.